This 832-nucleotide small RNA is filed under the name Cryptococcus neoformans H99. RNAcentral's name for it is "Cryptococcus neoformans var. grubii H99 hypothetical RNA". The record is from RNAcentral. Lineage: Eukaryota; Fungi; Basidiomycota; Tremellomycetes; Tremellales; Cryptococcaceae.
GUAAACCCUGGUUCCAAAAAACAAAAAGAACAAUAAGGACGUAGAGCUGCGUCUGAUACACCCGUUUCAUGUUUUACCAAGGGCGGGGGGGGGGAGAAAGGCGCAUCUCACAAACGCGAGCGCAUACGUCAAGAGGAAAGAAUGCCACCACGAAUAUUUCAUCCACCAUAUUCUUCUCCUUUCCGUCUUCACCGGCUUUCUUUCGUUAUACGUCAAUUUCACAUCACAGAGGAUCAUCCAACGUUAUUAUUAUCGUGUUCUCGAAUAUUGGUCCUCCAGUUCAUCAAUCUCUUUCUUGCUGUGGGUUUGACCGAAUCACCAAGUUACGACCACAGGGCCCUGAUAGCUGGCAAACAUUGGUACGUCCCUAAGUAAUGUAUAGAUGGUUCCACCGUUUCAAAGAAGUUUGAAUGGAGCGUUCAAUCGCUUCCUGUCCUCCCAUCGUCAUCUAUUUUUUUCUCAUUCCUUGAACUCCCUUAUGAUUAUCGUAUCGCAGAUCGUUCAUUCACCCAGUAACUGGGGCUCUCCAUUAUAAUAUGGUACUGGUAUAAGUAUAUCCAGUACCCUUCGCCAGGCGUUCCAGGCCGGGCCUUGAACAACGACACUGGCCAGGGAACAGCCUAGAGGGUUGGUCGCUGGCUAGGUCUCCAUGCAGCAUACCGCACCAAAGCAAUAGAAGCAAUAGCUUCUUCCAUCUUAUACUAGCCUUACAGUCUUCAGCACAUUAGCAGCAUCAUUGUUAUUGUUGUCGCUGCUGGUGGAAUUAAAAAAAAAAAACAUGUGGAAUUUAUAGUUAUUUCCCAUGAUGAUCACUUCAAACAAGUUUAGCAGU